ACAAAUCUUUGAGCGAAAGCUCACUAACCUUUGUGAAUAGGCUUGCGCAAGCAAGUUAGAUGGGUCGAGGGGGCGAAGAGUGACUAAAGCAAUUUAGCGUCUCGUAGCCACAUUAAUAUUGUCUGAUUACGUUUGGAAGUCGCAAGAUUUCUAAUAAUAAUA
Molecule: unclassified non-coding RNA, 162 nt
Filed under: uncultured fungus
Lineage: Eukaryota; Fungi
Description: sequence contains ITS1
Source: RNAcentral